UACAGAGGUCUCAAGCGUUGUUCGGAUUCAUUGGGCGUAAAGGGUGCGUAGGCGGCCCGUUAAGUCAGUGGUGAAAGCCUCCAGCUCAACUGGAGAACUGCCAUUGAUACUGGCGGGCUUGAGUACAGACGAGGUUGGCGGAAUUGAUUGUGUAGCGGUGAAAUGCAUAGAUACAAUCAAGAACACCGAUUGCGUAGGCAGCUAACUAGGCUGUAACUGACGCUGAGGCACGAAAGCGUGGGGAGCGAACAGG
Molecule: ribosomal RNA, 253 nt
Filed under: uncultured bacterium
Lineage: Bacteria
Description: partial 16S ribosomal RNA
Rfam family: Bacterial small subunit ribosomal RNA
Source: RNAcentral